This 437-nucleotide ribosomal RNA is filed under the name Rathayibacter sp. AY1B4. RNAcentral describes it as "bacterial LSU rRNA". It matches the Rfam family "Bacterial large subunit ribosomal RNA", at positions 1 to 390 of the family's 2925-position model. Lineage: Bacteria; Bacillati; Actinomycetota; Actinomycetes; Micrococcales; Microbacteriaceae. The record is from RNAcentral.
UAGCAAGUUCAUAAGAGCAAACGGUGAAUGCCUUGGCAUCUGGAGCCGAAGAAGGACGUCGUAAUCUGCGAUAAGCCUCGGGGAGCUGAUAAACGAGCUGUGAUCCGAGGAUUUCCGAAUGGGGAAACCCCGCCAGGCCCCUUGUGGUGACCUGGUGACUCCCGCCUGAAUAUAUAGGGCGGGUAGAGGGAACGUGGGGAAGUGAAACAUCUCAGUACCCACAGGAAGAGAAAACAACAGUGAUUCCGUCAGUAGUGGCGAGCGAACGCGGAAGAGGCUAAACCGAGUCAUGUGUGAUACCCGGCAGGGGUUGCAUGGCCGGGGUUGUGGGACUUUUUGUUCCGGUCUGCCGGCCGGUGAACGUUACAGCGCAUCAUAGACGAACAGGUUUGAACGCCUGGCCAGAGCGGGUGCGAGCCCCGUAGUCGAAAUGGUGU